This 67-nucleotide transfer RNA is filed under the name Polyphaga aegyptiaca. RNAcentral describes it as "tRNA-Met". The record is from RNAcentral. Lineage: Eukaryota; Metazoa; Arthropoda; Insecta; Blattodea; Corydiidae.
AGAAAAGUAAGCUAAUUCAAAGCUAAUGGGUUCAUACCCCAUUUAUAGAGUAAUUCUCUCUUCUCUA